CAGUAGCCGCGGUAACACGGAGGGGGCUAGCGUUGUUCGGAAUUACUGGGCGUAAAGCGUACGUAGGCGGUUUUGUAAGUUAGAGGUGAAAGCCCGGAGCUCAACUCCGGAAUUGCCUUUAAGACUGCAUCACUUGAACGUCGGAGAGGUGAGUGGAAUUCCGAGUGUAGAGGUGAAAUUCGUAGAUAUUCGGAAGAACACCAGUGGCGAAGGCGGCUCACUGGACGACUGUUGACGCUGAGGUACGAAAGCGUGGGGAGCAAGCAGGAUUAGAUACCCGUGUAGUCCCUGUCUCUUAUAC
Molecule: ribosomal RNA, 301 nt
Filed under: uncultured bacterium
Lineage: Bacteria
Description: partial 16S ribosomal RNA
Rfam family: Bacterial small subunit ribosomal RNA
Source: RNAcentral